GUGGUGAUAGGUGGAAGUCAUUGAGUGAGGAGGUAAAUAUGUUUUAGAUUUGAACUCUACACUUCUCUACUCUGGGUUCGAAUUUUGAAAUUCUCGAGCAAUUUUGUAAGUUAUGCAUACUUCUAGUUCUUUUCUUUGGAGAACGGGGUGUUGCAGUUGAUUGAUUCUUGUAGUCCGACUUAAUUCAAUUGCUUCUUGCACUGUAGUUAUUGAAUUCGCGGGGGGAUUCUGAGUUCUUGAUUGCUCCGGGUCCGAAUUGUUAUGACAGUUUUCUUAGGUGGUAAGCUUUGCUUAAUUGAAUAUUAAGCAUGGUGGAUGCUCACAAUGAAAUCAUGUCUUGUAUUCCUG
This 348-nucleotide long non-coding RNA is filed under the name Salvia miltiorrhiza (redroot sage). RNAcentral describes it as "long non-coding RNA (SMIL_LNC008834)". The record is from RNAcentral. Lineage: Eukaryota; Viridiplantae; Streptophyta; Magnoliopsida; Lamiales; Lamiaceae.